RNAcentral lists this long non-coding RNA (13074 nucleotides) under Citrus maxima (pomelo). Its description in RNAcentral is "long non-coding RNA (CMAX_LNC003108)". Lineage: Eukaryota; Viridiplantae; Streptophyta; Magnoliopsida; Sapindales; Rutaceae. The record is from RNAcentral.
AUGGAAAUAGCUGGUGCAGAUACCGCCACUGGCCUUUCAGCAUUAGGUCAGAAAGGACUAAGUGGGAACUUAAAGGAGAUUGAUUUGAAUGAAACGCCCUCUAUGCAAGCCAAGAGACGCCAAUUGAGACUGCUUACUCUGCUUAAAACAGGUAUUUAUAUACUUUAUUAACUUUUGCACCUUUCUAUUUACUGAUUAUCUUUAUAAUUAACUAAUACAUGUAUCCAGGUUUCUCCUUCCAUUUCAUUAGAAGUAAAUUGGAAUCUCUUUAUAGUGCUCUGUUAGGUGUAAUCAGAUGUAUCAAAAGAGAAAGAGUAAUUGUUAGUACAUUGAUAUCUCAACAAAAUGGUGGAACCUUUCUUUAUACCACUAAAGACAUUUGUUGCAGGAUGCCUACAGAAUCAGUGUGCUUUAAAACUUUCAAGGAGUUCGCAAUGCCUAACCCUUGAAACACUAAAUCUCACGGGAUCAACUCUUUACCUCUAGACCGAAGGUGUGACACCCAGACCCAAUUAGUGCUUAGAACACAUAUCGAAUCUGAGUGAAACUAAAUGCCUGUAAAUCCAAAUCUCCAAAAUAUCAAAAAGUCAUCUACUUUCUCUUUUCAUGUAUUUCACAAAAUUUUGAAAAAUUCAUUCUCAAUCAUAAACUAUGCACAGCUAAAUAUUCAGCAUAUCAGUAUAGAGCAAUACUUCCUCAUAAGCAAAUAAAUCUUACAAUCCUUCUUACAUGAUUUUAAAAAAAUACUAAUAGAAGUCUUCUAGAUACAAACAUAAACAGAAUUCAACUGUUUAAAACUAUGCCAAAACACAAGCUUCAAUCAGUAAUACAUACGACUAAUUAUUAAAAACAUCUAGGCAGAAACCUUACGAAAGCUCAAUCCUUCCGAAGCAUUCUUCAAAUUAAUAAUUGCUACCAUCUGUGAAAAAUAAUUGACAAGGAGUCAGCUGUGAAUUCAAUCAAUAGAAAUAUUCGUAACGAACAAAAAUAAUUCUUUGCGCAAUAUUUUCAGAAAAUUCAUUUAACCUUUCAAAUGAAACAGAGUAAUUUUUGUAACGCAGUCAGGAUUUAUAUAAAACACAAACGUUUCAAACAGAAGCUGUGCGGAAUGUAAAUUUUGCUUCUUUAAACAGAAAGUUAUAUAUUAGUUUGAUUUUAAAGGGAGGUUAUUGGGAAGUUAAAAUUGGCAGUUGUGGGAAAAGGGUAAUAGCAGUUAUAAAAUCUGUUUUAAAGCAAAUUCAAAUCAAGUUUCAAAUUUUAGGAGUACUUAAUUCAAUAAAAUAAGGAAUAAAUAAAGCUUUCAUUGAAACAAAACUAAGUAAAUUCAUUUAAAGCAAAAAAGGAUGGGAGCAUUACUAUGGGUUCUUAUGUUUACCCGCAGUCAGGCAUCUGGGACCUUGUUAUUUGGAGACAAGACUUGAUUGUGCUAUGUUUUCCACAGCCAGAUAUAUUUUACUUCAUUAGUUCCUAGACAUCUGUGGAUAAGAGAACCCUAAGCAUAUUGAGAAUAAAUUCCGUAAUCCAAGACUCUUCAGUUCUUUCAUUUGUGGCUAAUUAGUUAUAAAAUUUGUGAAUUUCAUGCCCCAUGCUCCUUGCAAAAUGUAUUUUAUAUCCUUAAGAUGCCAGUGGAUGAACUGAAAUAAUAAAAAAUGGAAGACAGAUUUAAUGCCGACAACAUUUCUUAAGAAAAACUUGGGAUGUUUAUAAUUUUCUUAGAGCAUUUGCUGAACUUUCUGUGAUCGCAGUCGAGACGGGUCAACGCUACUUCCCUCAUUGCUCAGAAGUGGUUGAUCACUUUAUGGAUUGGCCCUAUGCUUCCACCCCAAAAAUGGACGACGAGAAACUUAAAGUAGACGUGCAGGAGGCAUUCUGCAAGGACGUGGCUUAUCACCGUCGUAGAGGGCUGCCAUCAUCCUGGCCGGCAUUUUACCAGUACAUGGCUGAGAGCAAUCAGUCGGCAUUUUACAAGUACGUGGCUGAGAGCAAUCGUUCAGGAAUGGCGACAUCCUCGGCAGCGAGCAAUUAAGCAUCACCUUUCCCUAAAAGAUAUAUUUGACACCUGGAAAACUAAAGGAGUUGAGUGAGCUCUGCUCGAUUGGUAUUUGUAGUUUCUUUUUUUUUUCCUCAAGUGAUCUGGCAUGUAUCAAUUAGUUUGUAAAGUUAAUUGUAUUGUCUCAAGUCCGGUGAGAUGCGCGAACGUAUAGCAUGGAUCACAAACUCAUUUCAUAGAAUAUUUUUUUGUAUAAUUAUAUAAUUUAUAGGCUUUGCUUAAAAAAAUUAAAAAAAAAAAAAAAGAAUUGUAUUACAAUUGGUAUGAGGCAUGCAUGUGUGUGUCAUAUCAGUUACUGAACAAACUUUGCCUUUUAGUUUUGUAGGCACUACUAUCUCAAAUUCUCUGUUAUCAUGAAUGUGUAUUUUUUUUCUUUUUUCUUUUUUAACAAAUCAUAAAUGAGAUUAAGAUAAUCUUUUUUUUUAAAAGAAAAAAAUGGAAAUUUCUUUUAUUUUUCCUUAAAAAACUGAAGAAAAAUUUAGAAGGUAGUGAGAGACGGAGAAUUAAAGAAAUUUUAUUCACAAAUGUAAUGUGUUUGGUGCAGCAAUACAAACUAAUAAAUUAUAAUUUAUGAGACUAGUUUGCAAAAUCUUAUAUAUAAAAUUAUAUCCUCUGAAUAAAAAUCUUCUCACCUCUUUUGACUUCUCAUUUAGAUGUCCUCUCUAGAAUCUCUCUGGCCAUAAACACAUUUUUACAAAACAAAACAGAAGAAAUUAUAUAUAAUUCUCACAAGGACUAUUUCAUUUGCACAUAGUACGCAAUUGGUCACUAAAGUUAUUUGAGGAGAAAAUUUACAUGAGAUGGGUACAUCCUAUUAUCAGUAUUGUAAUUUAAAUUUGAACAUACUCGAAUGGUCUCUCAUAAAUUUUUCUCCAAUUUGAGAGAUGGUGGGGAAGUGGGGUUAAAGUGCAUCUGCAUAGAAUUAAUUAUAAUUAUAUUUAUUUUUUUAAACUAUUUUAACUAGAAGUAGUAGUAAUUCUUUUUAUUAUUGUUAUUCCAAUUAUAUCAAAAUCUCGUGACUCGUGAUCAAAUUAAGUAGUUCAUUAAAUUUUUUUAGGUGACGUACGGUAUGGAGUUUUUAUAAAUUUAUAUAAAUAGUAAAAUAUUUAAUUUUGUUUGUCGUAAACUUUUAAUUUGCAUGGGUUAAAAACGAAAAAAAGAAAUUGACUUAUUAAUUAAUUAACAAUUAUAGAAAGAAUAAAAAGCAAAUUAGAGUUGCGUGAGAAAACUCUCGUGAAAAGGGUUCCAGAUUUCCUUUCCCUGGCUUCGUGCGUUUCCUGUUUGCCCUUUCGAGCACAAUUCGAAUCCAAUACUUAAUAAUAAAGAUAUAAUAUUAAAAAAUAAGAAAAAGAAUCCAAAUUUUUACUGGUAUAUAAGGCAGAGCCAAAGCGAUAGCGAAACAUCAAAUUGUUUUUAUUUCAACCUUCGCGCAACUUCCGGUGACAUAAUUUUUCUCUGUUUCAGGUACAUACCCAACACUAAACUUUGCAUGUAUCAUUCUUGUACUUUUGUUAUUCUUUUCUUUUCUUUUCUCUUUUGCUGUAAUUUUUUAUGAAGCACUCUGUUUCAGUUCUGUUUCUGGUUUUGUUUCGGUUUAAUAUUAUUGGUUCGGUUCUGUUCUGCUCUGUUCUACGUCGUAUGUAUAUAUGUAUAUAUUUUUGGCCUCGAAUUGCUUUCAUCACCGGUUUUGUUAUUCAUUUAUCGUGAAAUUUAGAUGACUUGUUCGGCCAUGUUAUAUUCAGCUACCAUCUUCAUGGUGGGUUUGUAAGAUAGUCUCUGACUAACACAUGGCAUUGAUUAUGAAUGAUGGUUUUGUGAGAUACAUCAUACAGACGUUAACUCGUGUUAAUUUGUACUUACAUCAUUCAAAAGAUUAGUGUUUUUCUCUCUUUUUGUUUUUAAAAAAAAAUUGAAAUGCCCCUUUUCACAUUUUAUAGAUGAAAGGAAGAAACAUAAUAUCGCAGAACUAGAAUAAAGGAGCCUAUUCUGGUAUCUAUUAUCCGAGGAACCUUCUGUAUAUUCGGUAGGAACUACCAUGGGAAGUCAAAUCUUACCAGAGCCAGGCGGAGUCGUUGCUGAAGGAAUAUAUAUUAGCAGAUCCAUUUGUCCCGUACACUUCAAAUGUUGGUAGCAUUUUUGCUUGCACGAUGGUAUGUUUGUCAUCGUUACUGCGUGGUGGUAUAUACUAGAAAAUAUUUUGAAUGCAUAGUUUUUAUUUAAUUAGUUAUAAAUUUUAUACCCUCUGUUUUCCAUAAGAAUGUGUUCCUUUUCAGGUCUAUGAUCUUGCCCAAUUGAUUAGUGUGCUGUUCACUUUAAAUCUGAUUCCAGUUUCUCCAACAUACAGCGGGUCGAGUGGAGUUUAAUCAUUUUUCUUAAAUCGACAACUUAUGCAGGGCCAUAUCAACUGUCCAUGACAUUUUUAUUACAACAAUGUCUUUGUACUUUGUGUUUUGGUCGGAUCUCAGAGUUUGUGCAUAGCACACUUGGUUCUACUGUUUGUUUGUCCCUUCAUAGACAUUUUGAUAAACUGUUAUUUUUGUUCUUUGGAAGUGAAUAUUUUCAGCAACUAGAACUCCGAAGCAUCUGGAGUGAUCCAUUUUGUCAUUCUCAAUACCUAUAAAAGAAUGUCAUAGAAAACAGUUUCCAAAGCAAGUUGCAUGUGUUUUGAAUUUGUCUUUGCAAGCCACUAAUUGCUUGGAGCACACUGUUAGCCUGUCGCGAUCCCAUCCACUUUUUUGGAUAGACAAUUGUGCAUCCAUAUGAUCUGGACUAAACUAGUUUCUAAUAAAUAAUUGCCCAAGGAUUUAGUCUCAGUGUUACAGCCCAGUCUUUGUUGUCAAUACUCUUUCCCCUGUCGUGGAUGAGCGCCAUAACAGCUUCUUAAUGUUUUGCAGUGGCUUUUGCACGGUUGUUGUUUCCUUCUGAAGCUAGAGUAGCUACGGAUAGAGCGGAUGCAGAUGCCACCAGUUUUUAUACUAGCCUUUCAGCACCAAAAUCAAAAGGAUCAAGUGGGAACUUAAAGGAGGUUGAUUUGAAUGAAACACCCUCUAUGCAAGCCAAGAGACUCCAAUUAGGAUUGCAAGCUCUGCUUAAAACAAGUAUUCAUAUACCUUAUUAGUUUUUGUACCUUUACAAUUUGUGAUUUUUGUAUCAAAAGAGAGAGAGGUUAAUUUUUAGUGCAUUUACUGAACUUUCUAUGAUUGCAGUGGAGACAGGUCGACGCUACUUCCCUCGUUGCUCAGAAAUGGUUGAUAAAUUUUAGGAUUGUGAUUGGUCCGAUGCUUCCCUCCUAGAAAAAGGGUACUCCUGAAGAGCAGAGACUCAAAAGGGCACGCUUCAUGGAACUUAAAGAAGGCGUAAAGAAGGCAUUUUACAAGGACAUGGCUGAGAAAAUAUGGCUCAGGUUUGUAGUCAUCCUCGUCGUCGUCAUCUUCUCCCAAGGAAGGAGUAAAGUGUAAGGGUAGGAAAAGGUGAUGCUUAGCUGCUUGUCUUUGUUAUUCAUUUAUAGGCAACUCAAAGAGUUUUAGUGAGUUGGAUUGUUACGUUGUAGAGAGAUACUCUUCGAGCCUAUGUUAUGGCUUAUGUUGUAUAAUAGCAGAGGAACUUCAAGCUUGCGUUGUUGUAUUUUCCCUGGUAUUUGGCAUGUAAUGCACUAAAUGACAAAGAAUUUUCUAAUUUUAGAGGGAAAAGUUAUGUCAGUUAAUUAUUUAUUUAUUUUGUCUGUUUAAUUCAGUUUAUAAUAUAGCUUUUUUUUUUUCUUUCCAAAAAAAUCUUCAUUUCUUCAUCUGCAAUUUAAGUCAUUUGUAACUUCUUUCAGGGAGGAGAGAGAGAAAAAAAGAAAAAGAAAAAGAAAAAGAAAAGAGUUUAUUUUACAGUACUGAUUUUCCUACAGAAAUUGGUUAAGGUGACAUUAAUGUUCUUUGAGGUAGACGGAUAUGCAGAUUUUUCGUCGAAAUUGAAAUUAGAAAUGGAUGGAUAUGCAGAAUUUUUUAAUAGAAUUUUUAUACAAAAAUUUGUAGCUCAUUACUCUCUAAAAGGAAAAAAUAAAUUUUUGAUGGUAAAUAUUAAAUUUUAAAUUUAUAAUAUAAUAACUUUGUGAGUUAAGGUGCACAAUACCCAUAUAUUAAUAAUUAAGAAAAGAAAAAAAUUAAAUUUUGUAAAUUACCAAUUUUUUCUUGAAAUUUGAUAUUCUAUAUUAACGUAGGUGUUGCAUGGACUGGGUUAGUACAAUUGAAAGAAACUAACUAAAGUAAAACAAAAUAUCAUUAAAAAUAUGGCAAGCUUCUCAUAUUUUUUAAGUGAAAAAGAGAAGAAAACUAAAAUUAAUUAUUGUUAUACCCAAAUUCUAGUGCUUGAAGGCCGCUGGAAUUGACCAUUGCAGUUUUGUCAUCCUCAUUAUUCACCGGCCAUCGUGGCCUUCCUCCAUUAAAAAAAUAAAUGACCAUUUUUUUGGACCACGACAUAUUAAAAAUAGUAUUGAUUAAUACUAAUAUAUCUCUUUUUUGAUUAUUUUGCAGUGCGAUAGUCCAGUGAGGGCAGUGCCCAUCGUAGCACUUGAACAUGUGGUAAAUUUCUGCCAGUCUUUGUAAAAUAAUUUUUAAAUUAUGUAUUAACCAGAUAGCUCAAUGAAGACUAUCGCUUACUAAAUCAUUACUUUAUUUUGUAUAUAUUUAUGGUAAUUGUUGAAAAGAAAAAUGUAAAGUGAGAUUAACGAACGUUUAUGAAUGUGGAAAUUAACACAACCAGGAUUUAUGAUGAAAUAAUUUUAUGUCAAAUGAGUAUAAAUUUGUAUAUAUAUAUAUAUAUUUUGAAUUGUCAUAUAUAUACAAGUUUGUCACUAAUAGUAAACUUAAUUAUGAAUAUUUUAAUAAUUCAAAAUUUUAUUUAACCAUCGGUGUUUAUAGUGUUUUUCAUAAUACAAAAUUGUAAACAGUCUCAUCCUGAAAAGUAUAAUGCCAAACCUUUUCAAAAAUUUAUUCUAUUAUAGUCGUCUUAGUCAGUUAUAUUUAUUUCCAAAUUGAAGAUAAAAAUAAUACUUCAUAUAUCAUACAUUACUUCAUACAUUACUUAAAGUUUUUUUUUUUCAAUCAAAUUAUGAGCAAGUGAAAGGAUGCAAUAAGUUACGACUAAAAUUGUAAAAUUUACCAAUGGCUAUAUACAAAGUCUGAUUCUCAUGAGCUUAAAAGAUGGGCUUUGAAUGAUGUAUGGUUCUCAAAACUAUACUUAUAUUAAUAUGAUUGCCCUGCUUCCUUCAUGACGGGUAAUUUUUAGUUUCUUUCCCUGAAAUUUGGCGUAUCUCCAUUUUAAUGGGAAGUAUUAGCGUAUCUCCCACUUUUCUCCCCUGCCGUUUGUAUACCGUUUCAUAUUGUUAAUGGACGAAGCUACAAGUCUUCUCUUUCAUCAAAUCGAUCCAUAACAAAUACGAGUCUGCUUCACCUAACCAAAACACACACAUACUCCAUCUCUAAAUGCUUUGAAGAUAAACAAAUCAACCGUAAUCCUGCAACUUUAGCUCAGAGAAUCGGAUAAGAAAAGAACAGGUGAUGAAUCAAGGGUAAUGGCGCCGAGUGAGUGUCGCCUGCGGUCGGCGUUAGAGGCGACUGUCACUCAAUCGCGUACAAGGUUAGUCUUUGAAAAAACUCUUUGCACGUUAGAAAUCAGUGAUUGGGCAUUAUUUUGUUGUUUAAAAAUGAAAAUGGGUUUAUUAGUUUGUCGAAGAAUCUGCUCUGUUGCCGGUGUUGUUUGUUGAUUAAAAUGAAAAUGGGUUUGUUGAUGUGUUGAAGAAGUUGCUCUACUGCUGGUGUUUUUUUAUUAAUUAAAAUGAAAAUGGGUUUGUUAAUUUAUUGAAGCAGCUGCUGGCAUUGUUAUUGUGACUUUAUUUAUCCAAUUGAUGAGCUUAUGAGCUAAUAGUAUUGUUUGAUCAAGCUUGUGUUCUUAAUAGUGGAGUUGAUAUUCUUAAAAAUGAAUUUAUGAUUAUGAGAAUAUGAAAAUUGAAUGGCAUCAUAGAGAUCUAGAUUAAUCACCAUCGUAUAUGUUUCUAAAUAAAGGAAUAAGCAGCAACUGAUUUGAAACUUAAGACUUUAGGGAUAUGUAUGUGCAACUGAAUGAAUCAUCAGUUGCUAUCUUGUAAGUCAAUACUAGCAUAUUACUUAAUGGCAAGUGAAACUAUUUUAUGUGUAUUGCUGCCUAUCAAAAUGUUUAUGUUUGAAGUUAUCUCCUUUUAGGAAAUUGAAUGCUUCUGUGAGUUCUCUGGUAAGGGCUAUACAACUAGUUCUAAUAGAUUCCUUCAUGUGCAUUAAUUAGCUUAGUAGUUUAUUGACCUAUAUCCAAUGUCUAUUCCCCUUUUCUGUAGCCGUCUAGUUUUAUGAGCAUGUGAAGUGAACUUUUGUUUUAUGUUUCAGGACUUGGGAUUAGAGUGUAUAACAUUCAAUAUCUUUUUAUCAAAGAACUGAUAUAUGUCAAUGUAGUGCGAUCUGGUCUUUAUUAGCUUCUUGAUUUGCCAGGAUGUUUGACAACCAUCUUUGACCAUGAUUGCCAACAUAUAAGCUGCUACAUAGUGUCUCAGGAAUCACAGCAAAUUAUUAUCAUAAUAUGGUGAUUUUGAAUCCAAAACUUGGUAGUGUCAAGAAAAUAGACCCCUGUUUAUUUAUCUUCAUGUUUUGUAUGCGGCUGCAAUAGACUAUUAUAAGUUACUUUUAGUUUUAUCAAGUUUUUUUUCCUUAAAUUUCAUCGAGUCUUGGAGUCUUUGUAAUAUAGAGUCUAAGUGAAGAAUACUUGGGUGAAAUCUUGUAUUCUCUCUUCCAGUAAUAUAAUCAUCCUUUGUGUUUUUAUCUUUUUAUUUUGGAAUCAGAGCAUACUUUAUUAUAGAAGGACUUAGACUCUAUAUUACAAAGACUCAGCGGUUUCUUUUAACUGAGUUAAUAGUGUUGUUAGGUUAAACUAAGUUUGGCUUCAUAAGAUUCAUAGUAGAGUGUAGAACUGGGUACAAUGUUGGGUUAGACAAGUCAAAAGUCUUAUCAAGUAAUUGUUCUGCUUACUGAUUUGGUAAUUGCAACAUUGCUAAAUAGUUCAAUUUGUCCUUUUAUUUUGUUGAAUUUAUUGUAUGUCAUAUUACUUCAUUUAAUUAUUUUCUCAGAUCUUGUAGGUGAAAAUUUCAGCUUCAAAGGCCAAGCUAAUCAUCCAGCAAUUCAGUGAAACCAAGACACAGUGGCUCAUAAAUUGUUGUUGGUGAUCCAGCCAUUCGGGUGCUUGCCAGUCCUAGACGAGAAAACUUUCAACGCGGCGCAUAAAUUGUUGUUGAUCUACUUUAUAUAUUUUGACCUUUGUGAUUUGUGAAUACAUGGUUUGAUUCCAGUGUUUACAACUUUGAUACUGUGUAUAACUUAAAAAGCAAAUGAAACAAGUAGGAAAUGUGUUUUUAUUUUUUUUAUUCGAUCUAUCUAUUUAUUUUUUGUUUGGAAAUGUAACAAUUUAUAGCUGGCAAAGUACUAGAGUUGUAUACUUGUAUUUAAUUCAUUAUUAUUAUUUUUUUAAUGACUCAGUAAUGUCAUUGUCCAUGGUGUUCUGUCAUUUCGAAAGUACUUGACCCUUCCACGCUAAGGCACAUUACAGUAGCCGAAAUUUUGAGCUUUCAGUUCUUGAUUUUAGCGUGAGGGGUAUCUUUGUCUUUUCAGUUGUCAACAAACAAUUGGGGGGGGGGGGGGGGGCGGUGGUGGAGAUACGCUGAUACUUUCUAUCAUACUGGAGAUACACCUAACCUCAGGGAAGGAAACUGAAAUUUCACCUUUACGACGGGUGGACUUGGGUCAAACUUUCAUAUUUUAAUCAAGUAGGUCGAUCACGAUUCAAGCUUCAGUCAUAAGCCUUUCGUUAUGAUUGAUAUUAUUCUUUCUUGAUAGUAUCAUGGAAAAUGCAAACGAAAAGUCAGCAUCUUUGAGUUUUGUCUCAUCAUAUCCGACUUGUUGGUCUACUAAUCAAUCGACAGGCCCUUUUGAUCUUGAUAAUUUGAACUUAAGGAGGCAAAGCAGCAAUCCUGAAGAGCCAUUGCUUGAUGCUGAGAUCGUUGUUGACGGCAAAUCAGUGGCAGUUAAUCGCAGCAUAUUGUCUGCACGCAGUCGUUUUUUUCAUUGGCUUUUUCAUUUGAGCAGUGAUGGUUCUGUGAGUGAGGGGAAACCCAAGUAUCUUAUGACUGAUUUGGUGCCUUAUAGGAAGGUUGGAUAUGAAGCUUUUAAUGAUAUCUUGCAUUAUCUUUACACUGGAAUGCGUAAGGCACCUCCUUCAGAAGUGUUCACGUGUGUUGAUGAUACUUCUGUCUGUAGGCUUCAUAGAUUUGUUCAAGCCUUCAAGGAUGUCUAGCUGUUACUUACCGCCCAACAAUGGUGCUACAUUUCUAGUGAAUGAUAUGUUAUUCUACAUCUGUAUAUUGCGACUUUGACAAACUUCGCCUUUCCUUUGUUGAUUCACUCGUCUCACUUUUUUUAAAUUGCCCGAUUAUGAAAUGGUCUAUUGGAGACUAGCAUUGGAAGGUUUCUUCUGGAAAAAAAAUUUUACUUGACCACCAAUUUUCAUUUAGGUGGGUGUCAGUUCAUUCUCUGGCUUGACUGUUCUGUUAUUUAGGUUGUUUUAUCCGUAUUUCCUCACUCACUUGAUACUGAGUUUUCUCAUGCUUUCAAGCUCAACAGUGAAUGCGAAUGCGAGAGAUUCUCUUUCUUCCCGUCCAGGCUACAACGUAGCAAAUUGUUAAUGCUGUAGAAUAACAUCUUGUGUAGGCGAGCUUAUGUCUCUGUGAACAUUGGUCCAUCGGCAUUUAGGUUCAAUAAGCAUGGCACUGAUUUUCCCCCUCAUUAUUAUUUUCCUGAACAGGUUAUCCCCUUUAAGUAUUUGAAUUUUGAAUAUAUUAUUCUGAAUCAAAACUCUAUCUGUCCGUGUAGCAUUUUAUAUAUGCUUUAUGAUGUUUACCAAUAUUUACCCACUAUGGGGUAUUUGAAUUUUGAAUAUAUUAUUCUGAAUCAAAACUCUAUCUGUCCAUGUAGGAUUUGUUUCUGAACAAGGCUGAGGAUGCUCUUGUGGAAGAUGUAAUCCCAAUUCUCGUGGCUGCCUUCCAUUGCCAAUUGAACAAGCUUCGUUUUUUCUGCAUCCAGAGAAUUGCAAGGUCAAAUCUUGACAAUGUUUGUCUUGAGAAAGAGCUUCCUGAUGAAGUUUCAAGAGAAAUCAAAUCACUCCGUGUCAAAUCUAACCAGGAGUCUGAAGCUACUAUAGCAGAAGUGGAUCCUAUGCAUGCAAAAAUAGUCAGAAGAAUCCACAAGGCGCUGGACUCUGAUGACGUUGAACUGUUGAAGCUUCUUCUGGAUGUAUCUAACGUCACUCUGGAUGAUGCUUACGCUCUGCACUAUGCUGCUGCCUACUGCAGCCCUAAGGUUUUUAAGGAAGUUCUCAAUAUGGGCUUGGCUGAUCUCAAUCUUAAGGAUGCAAGAGGACGUAUGGUGCUUCAUGUAGCUGCAAGGCAUAAGGAGCCAGCAGUGAUGGUGGCCCUGCUGAGCAAGGGAGCAUGCGCAUCAGAAACUACAUCAGAUGGGCAAACAGCUUUAGCAAUCUGUCGAAGAAUGACAAGGUGAAAGGAUUAUAUUGAAGCUACAAAGCAGGGACAGGAAACUAACAAAGACCGGUUAUGAAUUGAUGUCCUUGAGAGAGAGAUGAGAAGGAACUCCAUGUCUGGGAACUUGGCAAUGUCAGCAGAAGUGAUGGAUGAUGAUUUCCAAAGGAAGCUGGACUAUAUGGAAAAUAUAGGUGAUAUUUUUUUACUGGUAUUAGUUCAUCACCUUCUCAGAGUUUGUGCAUAGCACACUUCUUUCUACUGUUUUUUUGUCCCUUCAUCUGGAAAAUAAAGGUGAUAUUCCUUUGCUGGUAUUAGUAAAUCAUCUUCUCAGAGUUUGUGAGUCCCUUCAUCAUAGGAUCUCAAACACACAUGGGCUUCUCAGAGUUUGUGAGUCCCUUCAUCAUAGGAUCUCAAACACACAUGGGCUCAUUGCUUGGAGCACACUGUUGGCCAGUCGUGUGAUUUGAUCCCUUUUUUGGAAUAGACAACUCUGAAUCCAUCUGAUCUAAGCUUGGCGGUUUGCACUGAACUGGUUUUUGAUGAAUAAUUGCACAAGACUUUGUCAUCAAAACUUUCAUUUUUUGGUUUUUUUGCCCCAAAAGUAAUGAGGUACAAAAAAAUCUAUGCCUAUCCUGGAUGAGUGCCAUAACAGCUUCUUAAUAUUUCGCAGUGGCUUGUGUACGGUUGUUUCCUUCUGAAGCUAGAGUAGCUAUGGAAAUAGCAGGUGCAGAUACAACCACUGGCCUUUCAGCAUUUGGUCGGAAAGGACUUAGUGGGAACUUAAAGGAGGUUGAUUUGAAUGAAAUGCCCUCUAUGCAAGCCAAAAGAUGCCAAUUGAGACUGCUCACUCUGCUUAAAACAGGUAUUUAUAUACUUUAUUCACUUUUGCACCUUUCUAUUUACUGAUUAUCUUUAUAAUUAAAUAAUACAUGUAUCCAGGUUUCUCCUUCCAUUUCAUUAGAAGUAAAAUUGGAAUCUCUUUAUAGUGCUCUGUUAGGUGUAAUCAGAUGUAUCAAAAGAGAAAGGGUAAUUGUUAGUACAUUGAUAACUCAACAAAAUGGUAGAACCUUUCUUUAUACCACUAAAGACAUUUGUUGCAGGUGUGCCUACAUAAUCGGUGUCCUUUAAAACUUUCAAGGAGUUAGCAAUGCCUAACCCUUGAAACACUAAAUCUCACGGGAUCAACUCUUUACCUCUAGACCGAAGGUGUGACACCCAGACCCAAUUAGGGCUUAGAACACAUAUCGAAUCUGAGCGAAACUAAAUGCUUGUAAAUCCAAAUCUCCAAAAUAUCAAAAGGUCGUCUACUUUCUCUUUUCAUGAAUUUCACAAAAUUUUGAAAAAUUUAUUCUCAAUCAUAAACUAUGCGCAGCUAAUUAAUCAGUAUAUCAGUAUACAACAAUACUUCCUCGUAAGCAAAUAAAUCUUA